This 253-nucleotide ribosomal RNA is filed under the name uncultured bacterium. Its description in RNAcentral is "partial 16S ribosomal RNA". It matches the Rfam family "Bacterial small subunit ribosomal RNA", at positions 524 to 776 of the family's 1533-position model. The record is from RNAcentral.
UACGGGGGGGGCAAGCGUUGUUCGGAAUUACUGGGCGUAAAGGGCUCGUAGGUGGCCAACUAAGUCAGACGUGAAAUCCCUCGGCUUAACCGGGGAACUGCGUCUGAUACUGGAUGGCUAGAGGUUGGGAGAGGGAUGCGGAAUUCCAGGUGUAGCGGUGAAAUGCGUAGAUAUCUGGAGGAACACCGGUGGCGAAGGCGGCAUCCUGGACCAAUUCUGACGCUGAGGAGCGAAAGCCAGGGGAGCAAACGGG